GAUGAACGCUGGCGGCGUGCCUAAUACAUGCAAGUCGAGCGAACAGACGAGGAGCUUGCUCCUCUGACGUUAGCGGCGGACGGGUGAGUAACACGUGGAUAACCUACCUAUAAGACUGGGAUAACUUCGGGAAACCGGAUCUAAUACCGGAUAAUAUAUUGAACCGCAUGGUUCAAUAGUGAAAGACGGUUUUGCUGUCACUUAUAGAUGGAUCCGCGCCGCAUUAGCUAGUUGGUAAGGCAACGGCUUACCAAGGCGACGAUGCGUAGCCGACGUGAGAGGGUGAUAGGCCACACUGGAACUGAGACACGGUCCAGACUCCUACGGGAGGCAGCAGUAGGGAAUCUUCCGCAAUGGGCGAAAGCCUGACGGAGCAACGCCGCGUGAGUGAUGAAGGUCUUCGGAUCGUAAAGCUCUGUUAUUAGGGAAGAGCAAAUGUGUAAGUAACUAUGCACGUCUUGACGGUAACUAAUCAGAAAGCCACGGCUAACUACGUG
RNAcentral lists this ribosomal RNA (497 nucleotides) under uncultured bacterium. RNAcentral's name for it is "partial 16S ribosomal RNA". It matches the Rfam family "Bacterial small subunit ribosomal RNA", at positions 28 to 507 of the family's 1533-position model. The record is from RNAcentral.